Molecule: ribosomal RNA, 200 nt
Filed under: uncultured bacterium
Lineage: Bacteria
Description: partial 16S ribosomal RNA
Rfam family: Bacterial small subunit ribosomal RNA
Source: RNAcentral
AGAGUUUGAUCCUGGCUCAGAGUGAACGCUGGCGGCGUGCUUAACACAUGCAAGUCGAGCGGACUUUGGCAGCACAUCGCCAGAGUUAGCGGCAGACGGGUGAGUAACACUUGGGCAAUCUGCCCUUGAGAGGGAGACAACCUGCCGAAAGGCGGGCUAAUAUCCCGUAAGACCACGGGGUCGCAUGAUCCAGAGGUCAA